Molecule: long non-coding RNA, 767 nt
Organism: Mustela lutreola (European mink)
Lineage: Eukaryota; Metazoa; Chordata; Mammalia; Carnivora; Mustelidae
Exons: 2
Source: RefSeq, a predicted model, not a curated record
CGAAUCUGGGAUUCUUAAUGCCUGUGCCCCAUCUGGCCUGGAACAAGAGAGGAGUGUGCUUCUUUGAUGAAACUAAUCUAACUCCUGAGAAAACUUGAGACCUAAUUAUCCUUAGGUUUUAAUGAGCAAUCUCUUAGUCUUUUCACACCCAGAACUCUGUUACUUUUACUUACCCAUCUUUUUAGUCUGAGUGCUAAUACUGGGCUAGGUGGUGGGGAUCAAGGGGAGAGCAAACAGGCCUGGUCUUGUCCUCAUGGGCUUGCACUUCAGUGGAGGGGGCGAACAAGUACAGGUCAAAUGACAUAGAAAGAUGAUUGCUACAGAGAAAGUCUCUUGGUAAACUGAGAACUUAUAUAAUAGGGAAGGGUUGAGCUAAUCAGGGAAGGCUUCCUUGAAGAAGUGAUUUUUGGAGUGAUCAUUCUUGUUGCCAUAAUGAGGAUGUAUCAGAGAAAACAUCACAGAAGAAUUUUCCCCAGUUGUCUGUCUGAUAGAGACUAGGAGAAUAAAUACUCCUGUGUUAAGAUGUCAAAAUCAAUUUUUUACUUUUAAAGGAUUAAAGAUAUUGAAAUGGAGACCCAAAAGUGAACAAAGCAAAUUAAGAUGUAAUAAAUUAAUUUUUGAGUUACUUUUUAAAAGUAUUGUAUUUUCUUUCUAGAUUUCCAGUUAUUGAAUAUUUUUUCACUAAAUAUUUAACCCCAAGUUGGGACUAAAUGAAUAAACUUCAUACUUAAGGUGGGUGAACUUGUUUAAAAAAAAAAAGAAAGAAA